RNAcentral lists this small RNA (18 nucleotides) under Arabidopsis thaliana (thale cress). RNAcentral describes it as "AGO1_0730". Lineage: Eukaryota; Viridiplantae; Streptophyta; Magnoliopsida; Brassicales; Brassicaceae. The record is from RNAcentral.
UUGAAGCUAGAGGUGUCA